CGAGCGAUGGAUUAGAGCUUGCUCUUAUGAAGUUAGCGGCGGACGGGUGAGUAACACGUGGGUAACCUGCCCAUAAGACUGGGAUAACUCCGGGAAACCGGGGCUAAUACCGGAUAACAUUUUGAACCGCAUGGUUCGAAAUUGAAAGGCGGCUUCGGCUGUCACUUAUGGAUGGACCCGCGUCGCAUUAGCUAGUUGGUGAGGUAACGGCUCACCAAGGCAACGAUGCGUAGCCGACCUGAGAGGGUGAUCGGCCACACUGGGACUGAGACACGGCCCAGACUCCUACGGGAGGCAGCAGUAGGGAAUCUUCCGCAAUGGACGAAAGUCUGACGGAGCAACGCCGCGUGAGUGAUGAAGGCUUUCGGGUCGUAAAACUCUGUUGUUAGGGAAGAACAAGUGCUAGUUGAAUAAGCUGGCACCUUGACGGUACCUAACCAGAAAGCCACGGCUAACUACGUGCCAGCAGCCGCGGUAAUACGUAGGUGGCAAGCGUUAUCCGGAAUUAUUGGGCGUAAAGCGCGCGCA
Molecule: ribosomal RNA, 528 nt
Filed under: Bacillus cereus
Lineage: Bacteria; Bacillati; Bacillota; Bacilli; Caryophanales; Bacillaceae
Description: bacterial SSU rRNA
Rfam family: Bacterial small subunit ribosomal RNA
Source: RNAcentral